RNAcentral lists this ribosomal RNA (253 nucleotides) under uncultured bacterium. RNAcentral describes it as "partial 16S ribosomal RNA". It matches the Rfam family "Bacterial small subunit ribosomal RNA", at positions 524 to 776 of the family's 1533-position model. The record is from RNAcentral.
UACGGGGGUUGCGAGCGUUGUCCGGAAUUACUGGGCGUAAAGGGUCUGUAGGCGGAUUAUUAAGUCGGAUGUGAAAUCCCCGGGCUCAACCUGGGAACUGCAUGUCGAACUGCCAGGCUAGAGUAUGGGAGAGGAUGGUAGAAUUCCAGGUGUAGCGGUGAAAUGCGUAGAGAUCUGGAGGAAUACCGAUGGCGAAGGCAGCCAUCUGGCCCUAUACUGACGCUGAGACGCGAGAGCGUGGGUAGCAAACAGG